Prunus persica (peach) is the source of this 2265-nucleotide RNA transcript. RefSeq lists it as uncharacterized. Lineage: Eukaryota; Viridiplantae; Streptophyta; Magnoliopsida; Rosales; Rosaceae. The record is from RefSeq and is a predicted model, not a curated record. The transcript is spliced from 4 exons.
AAUCUCCACUUGAGACUUCAUUUUGAGAGAGUUGGAGUGUUGAAAACUUGAAGCCAACCACCAAAAAACCGGUGACCUUGCACCCUACUCAUCAACAGAUGGUGCAAGGCCCCUCCUCCUCCUCUCUUACUUUAUCUUAUCUUUUACUGUGAUUGCCGAAGAAAGAAAAUCGUAGCUUCGCUGCUACACAGUCUCUUGGGAAACCACUUUUGAGUCUGUUUUGAUUUUUAUUGCUCUUUAUUCCGCCUGUCUCUUUCUGAUUGAAACUUUAAUCCACCAUUUCACAUGCUUUUGUUUCUCUUUUUUUCAUCACCCUGUUAAACUUUCUUCUCUCUCUCUUUUUCUUCCCCAUUUCUGAUUUCAAUUCUCAGACUUUGUUUGAUCUCAAUCUCACUUGGGUAUUUCUUAUUUUGCUAUUUUCUUAAAUCUAAGUCUUUUCUUAUUUAUUUUUGUUUUUACAAUUCUGGGUUACUUUGAUUUCAGCUUAUCUUUCAUUUUUCAUUUCUGGGCAAUCUGAGAUCUCAGUUUUUGUCACCUGGGUUGUGCUGAUUUCGAUCCAAUUUGCUUACUUUCCCUCGAAUUUCAAUUCGAAGGCAAUGUCACAAGGCUAUGCGAUCGAGCUCUACUUCGAUCCAGCCCUCGAAAACCAGGUCUUGAAGGCUUGGAAUGUGCUCGCUCGCCGUCAGAUUAGUACCCAACUCAUUGAAAUCGAAUCACGCCCCCACAUCACCCUCUUCUCCAGCCCCUUCAUUGAACCAGCGAAGCUCGAAAACGUAAUCAAAGCCUUCGCUUCGAAGCAAGAACCUUUGGCGUUGUCCUUCUCCUCAAUUGGGAGCCUUCCACAUGACAACAAUGUCCUGUUUCUGUCACCAACUCCUUCAGUUUCGUUGCUUCAGUUUCAGUCCCAAUUGUGCGAGGCAGUGAAGAGAGAAGGCGUUGAAAUUGGGGAGGAGUAUCGCACAGAUUCUUGGGUUCCUUAUUGUGCUGUUGCUCAAGAAGUGCCAAAGACUCGGAUGGCGGAAGCGUUUUGCGUGUUACGGGACUUGAAGUUGCCGGUUGCUGGGUAUGCCAUGGAUAUUGGGUUGGUGGAGUUUUCGCCUGUUCGUGAGUUAUUCUCGUUUGUGCUAGGUUUUGGCUGUAUUUUUUUUAGUGGUGUAGCCUUGUGACGGGGCACAGGGAUUGAUUUUUACUGCCCACAUCAUACCAGUUAAACCCUAUGCCCCAAGUGAGUGAGCUAUCAAACUUGUUUUACUAGUCUUUCUAGUGCCUUGGUUUUGUUGGCUCAUAAGGGAUAUCACCUUCAUCUUCUGAAUGUGUGUGUACACGCUUGUGUAUGCUGUGUGUGCAGUGUAUUUGUUAGACUACUCUCAUCUUUGUAAUCUUCUACUCUUAAGAGAAUUUUGAAAUCUCUCUGCUUCAACAAUGUAGGUAUGAUUUGUGGUAAUCAUCUUUCUCAGACUCUCUUCCUCAUAUGUAAUUGAGCCAAUAAUUUUUGUAUGGCUUUCCUGUAUUGUUGACUGAAGACAGCCUUCCAUCUGUGUGCACAAGUGUGUGUGCCAAGCAUCUCUGAAUCUUCGUUUAUAUAUGAUCUCUUUUUACAUAUUUGAUUUCUAGGUGCAUAUCUUACAGACUACUAUCUACAAGGAACUUACAUCAUUGUACAUUCUUGUGUAUAUCUCUGCUUAUUCGUUUUAUAACUACAAUUGAAAGAUAUCAUUUUGAAGUGACCUAUAAUGUCAAAAGCUACUUACUUAGGUUUCACAAAAUGUGCUGAAUUUUUAAAAAGUUCAUGAAAUGUGAUGAUACAGACAGUCUACUCUGAAUCUUUUGGGAGGUCUUUUUUUUUUUUUUUUUUUUUUGGUUUUUUGUUGUGUGGGGUAGGGGAAGGACGAAGGUUUCCAAAAGGCCUCUCUGCUGCUUUGUAGAGGUAACAUCAUGUUGCUUAUGGUUUUCAUACUUUCCACCCAAUUAGUUUUGCCUAGUGUGAGCUGCAUUGGUUGCCCGCAACCCUUUCUUGGGGACUUCACUCUGUUAACAUGAUUUUGAUUGUUCUUACAAAACCUGUUUGAUUAUAUUCUUACAAUGGACAAUGAAGCUCUACAUGGGAUUGUGCGCAUCUCAUGCUCUUGGUAGAUUCUUUAUAAAGCGUGGAAGUGUCUUUUCGUUUUUCUGUAUUUGGUACAACAGCCAAUGAUAUUUAAUAAUGGAGGUUGUCCGUGUCUUCUCUUCGCUAGUAAUUGUCAAAACUGUCUACGAUUUUAUCAA